AACGAACGCUGGCGGCAGGCUUAACACAUGCAAGUCGAACGGUUGUAGCAAUACAGCAGUGGCAGACGGGUGAGUAACACGUGGGAACCUUCCUAGGGGUACGGAACAACUCAGGGAAACUUGAGCUAAUACCGUAUACGUCCGUGAGGAGAAAGAUUUAUCGCCCUUAGACGGGCCCGCGUAGGAUUAGGUAGUUGGUGGGGUAAUGGCCUACCAAGCCUACGAUCCUUAGCUGAUCUGAGAGGAUGAUCAGCCACACUGGGACUGAGACACGGCCCAGACUCCUACGGGAGGGCAGCAGUGGGGAAUCUUGGACAAUGGGCGCAAGCCUGAUCCAGCCAUGCCGCGUGAGUGGAGAAGGCC
This 363-nucleotide ribosomal RNA is filed under the name uncultured bacterium. RNAcentral's name for it is "bacterial SSU rRNA". It matches the Rfam family "Bacterial small subunit ribosomal RNA", at positions 29 to 416 of the family's 1533-position model. The record is from RNAcentral.